Molecule: long non-coding RNA, 546 nt
Organism: Ficedula albicollis (Collared flycatcher)
Lineage: Eukaryota; Metazoa; Chordata; Aves; Passeriformes; Muscicapidae
Exons: 3
Source: RefSeq, a predicted model, not a curated record
UGUAUGGAAAGAUUGUAGCACUGCAUUGGAGUUCCCAUCAGGGUGGAAAUGAGGCCUGAACUGUAGGGGCAGUCUCAUAAAUGCUUCUGUAAUCAGCCAGGCCCAGGUUCAGUCCUUAGACACAGCCAGGCAUUCACAGACAUCUUUCCUGAAAACAUCAGCAGUACCAGAAGCACUGGGACCCUGCAGUGCUCCUGUGUGUGACCUCCCAGCUGUGACACAAUCCAGAGAGCGGCAGGAGUGGAACCCCAAAGCACUUUACAAAUUACAGAGAGAAGAACGACGUUCAUUCAGUCCCUCCUGUGCUGCUCCUUAAACUUAACACCACCCUUCUGGCCACGAGACUUGCUCUUUCCUUGUGAAAGCUGAAAAAUUAAAAACAAAAUGACAGAGAAAAAAGAAAAGCAUAAAAAGAAAAGCAAGUCUGCGAAGUGAAGAAAGACAAGCUGGAAGUUCCACAUCACUGGCCUGUGAAAUGCACCUCAACCGAAGCCACGUGAAAUCCCAUCAAUGGCAGCUCUGGAAAAAACACAGGGUAGUCUCUCA